AUUAGAUACCCGGGUAGUCCCAGCCGUAAACUAUGCUCGCUAGGUGUCAGGCAUGGCGCGACCGUGUCUGGUGCCGCAGGGAAGCCGUGAAGCGAGCCACCUGGGAAGUACGGCCGCAAGGCUGAAACUUAAAGGAAUUGGCGGGGGAGCACAACAACGGGUGGAGCCUGCGGUUUAAUUGGACUCAACGCCGGACAACUCACCGGGGACGACAGCAAUAUGUAGGCCAGGCUGAAGACCUUGCCUGAAUCGCUGAGAGGAGGUGCAUGGC
This 271-nucleotide ribosomal RNA is filed under the name uncultured archaeon. RNAcentral's name for it is "partial 16S ribosomal RNA". It matches the Rfam family "Archaeal small subunit ribosomal RNA", at positions 728 to 998 of the family's 1478-position model. The record is from RNAcentral. RNAcentral also lists the same sequence under 1 other name.